RNAcentral lists this ribosomal RNA (301 nucleotides) under uncultured bacterium. RNAcentral describes it as "partial 16S ribosomal RNA". It matches the Rfam family "Bacterial small subunit ribosomal RNA", at positions 509 to 807 of the family's 1533-position model. The record is from RNAcentral.
CAGUCGCCGCGGGAAUACGUAGGGUGCGAGCGUUAAUCGGAAUUACUGGGCGUAAAGCGUGCGCAGGCGGUUCGUUAAGACAGAUGUGAAAUCCCCGGGCUCAACCUGGGACCUGCAUUUGUGACUGUAUAGCUAGAGUACGGUAGAGGGGGAUGGAAUUCCGCGUGUAGCAGUGAAAUGCGUAGAUAUGCGGAGGAACACCGAUGGCGAAGGCAAUCCCCUGGACCUGUACUGACGCCCAUGCACGAAAGCGUGGGGAGCAAACAGGAUUAGAUACCCCAGUAGUCCCUGUCUCUUAUAC